RNAcentral lists this ribosomal RNA (482 nucleotides) under uncultured bacterium. RNAcentral's name for it is "partial 16S ribosomal RNA". It matches the Rfam family "Bacterial small subunit ribosomal RNA", at positions 30 to 507 of the family's 1533-position model. The record is from RNAcentral.
AUUGAACGCUGGCGGCAUGCUUUACACAUGCAAGUCGAACGGUAACAGCACUUCGGUGGCUGACGAGUGGCGAACGGGUGAGUAAUACAUCGGAACGUGCCUAGUAGUGGGGGAUAACUACUCGAAAGAGUAGCUAAUACCGCAUGAGAUCUAAGGAUGAAAGCAGGGGACCUUCGGGCCUUGCGCUACUAGAGCGGCUGAUGGCAGAUUAGGUAGUUGGUGGGAUAAAAGCUUACCAAGCCGACGAUCUGUAGCUGGUCUGAGAGUACGACCAGCCACACUGGGACUGAGACACGGCCCAGACUCCUACGGGAGGCAGCAGUGGGGAAUUUUGGACAAUGGGCGCAAGCCUGAUCCAGCAAUGCCGCGUGCAGGAUGAAGGCCUUCGGGUUGUAAACUGCUUUUGUACGGAACGAAAAGCCCUCUUCUAAUACAGGAGGGUCAUGACGGUACCGUAAGAAUAAGCACCGGCUAACUACGUG